Molecule: ribosomal RNA, 253 nt
Filed under: uncultured bacterium
Lineage: Bacteria
Description: partial 16S ribosomal RNA
Rfam family: Bacterial small subunit ribosomal RNA
Source: RNAcentral
UACGAAGGGGGCUAGCGUUGUUCGGAAUUACUGGGCGUAAAGCGCACGUAGGCGGAUUGUUAAGUUAGGGGUGAAAUCCCGGGGCUCAACCCCGGAACUGCCUUUAAUACUGGCAAUCUCGAGUCCGAGAGAGGUGAGUGGAAUUCCGAGUGUAGAGGUGAAAUUCGUAGAUAUUCGGAGGAACACCGGUGGCGAAGGCGGCCCCCUGGACCGGUACUGACGCUGAGGCGCGAAAGCGUGGGUAGCAAACGGG